GUGUGUGUGUGUGUGUGUGUGUGUGUGUGUGUGUGUGUGUGUGUGUGUGUGUGUGUGUGUGUGUGUGUGUGUGUGUGUGUGUGUGUGUGUGUGUGUGUGUGCGUGCAUGUGUGUGAGUGAGUGAGUGCAUGCUCCCUCAGCCUGUGUCUAUGAAGCUAAUGCAUACUCCCACCUGUCAUUCAGCUCCAGUUAUGUCUUGUGUGUGUCUCUUCUGAUGGAGAGCUCCUGAUCUCGGGGUAGGACACACACUCAUCACACACAUUGCUGAUAUACGCCUCCUGCCUUGGCAACUAAACAUUGACUUAUGUGCCUGUCGUACUUAUCUUUUCUAAUUUGUUUUGAUUUAUUAUAUGUUGUAAAAUCAUUUGCACAUUCGGGACACAUUUAGUUUGAACUGAUCUCUCCAUGGUAAAAAAAUCUUCUUUUUUUCUGUACUGUAAACAGCAGAUGCCACUGCUGAGCACUGAUCCUGCUGUUCUCUCAGUCGGCCACAGGAGGAGUGUAUUUUGUUGUGUUUGCAUUUCUCUGUGGUUCCCUGGCUUCAAUUGAAACACACUGGAGAACCUGGGAAUCCUGCUCCACACUUUGAAACAGCACGAAAGGUACGUGACUGCUGUCCCUGUCUCCCACCAUGAGGUGGAUUGCAACCGGCUCCAUGGACAGAACCGUAAACGUGUGGAGAAUAGGAAAUGGAGUCGACAGAACUAGUAAAUACUUAAAAGAGAAUUGUUUAAGGUGGCUCCUACAAAUGCACAAUCACUCCUCCUUUUUCCAAACAACAGUCAGUUAGCAUUGGUCCAAAACCCAGGAGUGAGUGCUUAAGACUCCCAGAAGAGUAUUUUGGGAGAAAUCCAGCCGGAGAAGUUCAUAUUGCAUGUGUAUUGCCGUCUGACUGCAGUGUCUAGAGGAGGAAUUAUGAUUGAUGUUUAUUGAAGCAGCAGGGCUAACAACCUCUAAGCCUCAGAAAGCUGUUGAAAGCUCCUUAAAAAAGUUCAAACCAACACGAAAGCAAACAUUGGAAACAUUAAAUGAAAAGGUGCAAUCAUUAGACAUCUGGAGGCCUCAAAUCUUCAUCACUGCAGCUCCUCAUCAAGUUGAUCUAACAAAGCAAAUUCCACCUCAAUGAAGAUCAGCCUUUUUAUGCCUCUUUUUAUCUCCCCUUUCUUUUAAUCUCAGUUAGUUCUCUCUAUUCACAUGAUAAAGUUAUUCCCUUUUAUGUUGCAGCUGAUACAUUAAGGCAGACAGUCUGCCAAGAUAAAUAGAUCUAGCACUCAGUUUUCUCCCCUGCUGUUUUACUGUGUUUUGUUCUUUUUGUUCAUAUAUAUAGUUAUAUAUAUGAGAGUCUUGCAAAGGUGUUUUAGAUCAUAUAAUGUCUUGAUAUAUCCUGGAAACAUCUUGUCUUUUAUGCAUGUGAUGAAAAGCUUUUCUUGUGAUUUUGUCCACUGAUUUGAAAUGGUAUACUCAGAUGGGUGAACCUAAAGAAUGUGAACAAAGGUGCUUUGGUGAGCAAAUAUUGUUAUUCAACGUUUUCCUUAAUGGCAGCAAGUCCCAUGACAGGAUUGUAACAGCACUAUGUUGGUCCAUCUCUCAACAAUUUCAAGCACAUAAGAGUGGGUCACUAACCCUGAAAGUUCAACUUUAUGCUCAACGUAUUGACUUCACAUCCCCCCCACGCACUUGAUGCCAGGCUCUUAACCAAAGGUGUUUUCACUUCACAUUGUUUAAUGAGAUCUCUCUGCUCACUCUAAUUAGUUGUGUUGCACCUGUUAGGGCGGGGCCUCCAACCCUGUUAUCAUUGUUUUUAUUGGAUAGAGUUGGCAGCGAGUUCAAUCAGAGUGAUUAGAAACACCUGUGUUCAUGGGCAGAGUAACCUUUCAGUGCUUCAUAAACUUGUAUUUUAAAAUUGAACUGAACACAAACAUGACAAUUGGAUUUGUGUGAGACUAUUUCCAACCUUGAACUUACACACAUCAGGCAUGCUGGAUGCUGAACAGACCUCAGGGUAAACCAGGAACACACUGGAAAGAUGACAUCUCGUCUGGCUUUGGAACGCCUCAGGUUCCCCUUUCAGGACGGCCGUGCUCAGCCUGCUACAUGCUGUCAGUGUGACUCGGACCCAGAUAAGCAGCAGUAAAUGGUUUGAUAAGGGAU
Molecule: long non-coding RNA, 2151 nt
Organism: Eleginops maclovinus (Patagonian blennie)
Lineage: Eukaryota; Metazoa; Chordata; Actinopteri; Perciformes; Eleginopidae
Exons: 4
Source: RefSeq, a predicted model, not a curated record